Acipenser ruthenus (sterlet) is the source of this 3137-nucleotide long non-coding RNA. RefSeq lists it as uncharacterized. The record is from RefSeq and is a predicted model, not a curated record. The transcript has 4 exons. NCBI's taxonomy places the organism in Eukaryota, Metazoa, Chordata, Actinopteri, Acipenseriformes, Acipenseridae.
AUCGGAGCUCCCCUCUUGCCACCAAGUCAGCCAAUCGGAGCUCCCCUCUUGUCACCGAGUCAGCCAAUCGGAGAUCCCCUCUUUUCACCGAGUCAGCCAAUCGGAGCUCCCCUCUUGUCACCCAGCCAGCCAAUCGGAGCUCCCCUCCUGUUACCCAGCCAGCCAAUCGGAGCUCCCCUCUUGUCACCCAGCCAGCCAAUCGGAGCUCCCCUCUUGUCACCGAGUCAGCCAAUCGGAGCUCCCCUCUUCUCACCAAGGCAGCCAAUCGGAGCUCCCCUCUUCUCUCCAACCCCUCUACUGAUUAAAUGUCAAUGUUGUAGACAGCGCGCGUGAGAAUCAGAUUAUUAGGCUAUUAAAGAUUAUAAUUAUUAUUUAUUAGGAGGGAUUAAUAAUCAUCCUCCGGUGAGUUUUAGCGGGCAGCAGCCAUUCCAAUAAAUUAAAAAGGAAUACAUUGUGCAUGGACAGAUGUGAUCACACAGUUCCGUUUUUCAAAGCUGGUAAAGGAUUUACUCACAGAACUAGUUUUUAAAAAAUGAUCGCUUAAUUGCGUGACAGGGGUCAGUUAUGGGGGCUUUUUUUACACCCGUGUUGUUUGAGUCGAUGCGCUGUAAGUAGGAUACAGUCAAUCUAAUAAACACAUGUACUGCCCUGACUCACGAGUAAAUCCUUUACCAGAUUUGUAAAAACGGAACUGUGCGAUCACAUUUCUCCAUGCAGAAUGUUUAUGCUGUUCUAUGUUGUGAAAAUAAAUAAAUGGUGUUUGUUUUAAAACAUAUUUUUGGUUGUACCAUUAAUUUACUAAGAGUAUACAAACAACACGAAACGAAUAUCAUGUGACACACUUGCAGAAAUUGAAUGUUAAGCAACUUUAAUGACGUGCAGUUGCGAAUCAUGACCACAAGGUGUCAGUAAUAGAUUGGAUAGUAACCCAGCUAACACAAUGAUGUGCCCAGAACGUUAGAAGAAUGUUAUUCGAAAGUCAGGAUAACAUGAAGUAAUUUGUAAAGAACAUUUCUUUGGAAGGUUUUCGUAAAGUUACGAGAACGUUCGUAACUAAUGUUAUGAAAUAACAUUGACGCUGCUUUCAGGUAACAUUGCCAACGACACAAAAUGAUUAAUUUAUUCCCAGUUAAUUAGGGUCCCUCUUGUAAAUGUACUCCCUAGUAUCCUACCCGCCAAUCUCCCGAUCCUGCUCUCCUACAGCAGCUGUCUCUUCAAUAAACACACAUCUUUCUUCAGGUGUUGUUAUUUUGAUAUAGUUUUGAGGCUGAAUAUUUCAGUCCAGGUUUGAAGCACUCAGUCUUCAUUACUGAUAUUUAAAUCCAGAAGAAACACAAUUACAAUUUAAAAAAAUAAAUAAAAAUCUGUGUUGAAGUAUUUGUAUUGGGGUUGUUCAUUUUAAAUGCCACGUGUUUACAAUUACCAGUUCUAGAUUAAACAGCAGAAAUAAUUUUACUGGCUUGCCAGACCCAAGAGCCUUUUCAUUUCACAGGCUAGCAGCCCACGUCAGUAUUUCAAAAAUAUUAUAUUUUCAUGCUUCUAGUGAAGAAUUGUUUUACUAUCAGUCAUAUUUUAAAACGGCCAGUUUCGAAAUAACCAAAGAAAACAACGAUUCUAAACCGGAACGUGCCUGAAGGAAUCAACUGUAGUUCUCUUUUAUAGCGGUUUAAAAUGUAUCUAAAAGUAUAUACGGGUGUUUGUAAUAAUUUAAUCACAGACGUAGAAAUAUAACCAAGAUUCACGACGACCAUUGUAUUGAUAGAGCAGUUGUUUAAAUAAAAGAGCAGCGUCAGUUUUGGAAAUGUCACAUUUUAUAUUUGUGUCAGUUUUUAGUUAAGUAAAUUUCAGUUAAGUGUAUUUCAGUAUGCUAACGUGACGUUUUUCAGCAGGUUUCAUUUGAUUUUAUGAUGCAGAAUUAGUUAACACUCAAUUCAGCCCCUCGACAGCAGUUCUACCAAAUGUCCACACGAGGGCAGCAUUGGAUAGGAAAUGAAAGCUAAAGCCUCGUCUGUCUCCCUGAAGUUCGCUACCAAUUGUAAAGAGCAGAGGACAGCUCAGCCGGAGGCGUGUGUCUGUGUGAAACGACUUUAUUUCAUGUGAUAAGUUUGUGGAAGAAGGACGCCAUGUUAGGAGACGUUUGCUAUUGUUUUACACAGACUACGAGGGACAGCGCUCGUUAAACCAGGUCUGUGAGGAUGAGAAGGUCUCCACAGUCUGGAGUCUGGUCUCUGACAGGCUCAACAUACCUGUCAAUCAACAGGGACUCCUCUACAAAGGCAAGGCGCUGGCAGAUGAGCACAGACUGUCACACGACUCCAUCGCUCCCGAUUCCAAGCUGAACUCGUUGUGACGCCCCCAACAGAGAAAGUGUCACCCGAGCAAGAACAGCACUCCGUGUCACCCCUCCUCUCAGACCUCACCCUCGCCUCACCCCUCCUGUCACACCUCACCCCUCGCCACACCCCUCCUCUCACACCUCACCCCUCGUCUCACUCCUCGCCUCAACCCUCCUGUCACCCCUCGCCCCUCCUCUCACCCCUCGCCUAACCCCUCCUCUCACUUCUCGCCUCACCCCGGGUCAGUGUGGCACAGCCUGCCUGCUCUUCUGAACAAACACUUCAGCCCUGCCGACGCAGUGAGAGUCUGGAGCAGCAACACAAGGAUUACGAACGGAGGCUGCGCUUAUUGAGCCUGGAUGAUAUGGAGCGGCUGGCGACCCGCAUGCUUCACCCUGAGGCUAUGGGGAGUGCAUGGAGCUGUCCUUCCUGGACUGAGCAAUACUGCUGCUGCCCUCUCCACCUCUCCCCUCUCUCCUCCCCCUCUCCUCCCCCUCUCCUUACUUUGUUUAAAAGAAUAGAAGCACACCCAGUGAGCAAGGUAUUGAGCAGCCCCACAUCCCGCUUCACAAUACCGCUACAUAUUGACUGACUGUUCGCAUUGUGUGUGUUUGGUAAGACAAACCACAUUUUCUACUUUCUGCUAUUUUAAAAGGAGCCCAGUUUGGUGCAGGAGGCUUGUGGGUAACAGAGUGUGUUUUUGCUGGGGACUGCAGCCCUUCCAUUACCAUUGCUCGUAGAGGGGAGAUUGUUUUACUUUCAAGCCUUUUUCUUUAAUAAAUCCGGACGUUUGGAAAUACA